RNAcentral lists this long non-coding RNA (3302 nucleotides) under Daucus carota (carrot). RNAcentral's name for it is "long non-coding RNA (DCAR_LNC000783)". Lineage: Eukaryota; Viridiplantae; Streptophyta; Magnoliopsida; Apiales; Apiaceae. The record is from RNAcentral.
CAAACCCUAGGGUACUUGUCACAUGUCCUCCAUGCCCGUGGUCUGUCAGUCAAAAACCGGCCCAUUUGUCCCGAAAAAGAAGAAGGUUCAGAGGUUGUUAUAGGAACAUCAAGGUCUAAAUUACCAUCUUCCAUAACCGAGGUGGCGAAAAUGGUAGUAGUUGUGGCCACUAUUGCAAGGAAGAUGAACAUCUUAGACAAUGCCAUUUCUAAUAAUAUUGCUUCAAGAUGGCUAACGAUUAUAUAUGUUUUGUUGAAUAUUUGGUAGCAGUGGUUUGUGGAUGCUAAGUAAGGGAUGUUGUGAGGGUAUUUAUAGGAGAAACUAUUACUAAGUAGAUAAUUUUGGUGCCACCUUACCUAUCUUGUAAUGCUAGUCUUAAUCAGUGUUACAUGCAAGUAAAGUGAAAUUGGGCAAUAGAUUAAGAAUUAUGCUUCAAGUCUCGUAUGAAGUACAAAUGUGGGGGCAAAUUGACCUUGAAAGUGGGCAAUAGGAGAAGCAUUACGAUUUACAUUAGGUCAAUAUUGCAUGCGGUACAUAGAAUUGUUAUGUAUCAUGCUAUUCUUAGGUCUAGAUUAGGAUUUUGAUUGUAGUGAAAAACUCGCUUACGGUUUCAUAUGAUUGUUCUUGAAUCAAUGGUACAUAUGGAAUGCGGUGUUAAUGUGAAAACUUGCGUACGGGUUAAUAUGUGUGCGAAACAAUUAUAAAUACAGUAUCAUGCUCCGUAUUCAUCGCUUGCUACUCAAUUCCUUCGUUUUUCGGUAUUUCUCUCUUUUUGAUUUACUUAUAUAUAGAUAAAUAAAUAUUACAAAAAAGGUGAUUAUUUAUUACCGUCAGUUUUGACAGGGGACUAUUUUGAUAAAAAAAAACAGUCAAACUUGAAAUCAGUCGAUGAUAUACGAUAAGUAGGAAAAUAUAACCAAAAGAGAUCAUAGAUAUAAUUCAAUCAAAAUUAAACAGUCAAAAAUAUAAUUAAUUUUGACAUGGAUGUGUUGAUCGAAAUUAUCCACCACAUAAAGUUAAUUUCCGCUCACUGUUUUGAUCGGAAAUGUACGUAGCCCGUUAAAAUUAAUUUACGGACGGAACUUUUACGGCCUUCUCCGAGCAAAUAAAUUUCAAAAUAAUUUAUGUCAAUUUUAAGACGGCGACCAUUUCAUGUCAAAUUUUAUCAUUAAAUAAUUUUUUAACUUCUAAUUCGAUUACAAAAGAAAUACAAAUAAUGACACGUGUCUAUGCAAAAUGGACAAUUUAUAUUUCGAGGAGAAAGUAGUACUGUUAUAAUUAUAAUUAUAUAUAUUUGACGAACAAGAUCUUAUGAUACAAACUGCUUAUUAAUAAGAUAUAAAAAAUAUUUAAAAAACCCUAAUGCUUGGUGAACUUUCUGCUACUUGGCCAUACAAUUCAAAUUCAGUCGACCGCACUACUGACUCAUACCUUGUUCUUCUAUAUUCUUCUUAUUAAUUUAGAAAUCAAAUCUGUUAUAUCAGCAUUCUAGCUAGCCAUCUGUGUUUAUUGGUAAUUACGAAAAUUAAGAUGGUAUAGCGUUCACGUCUUUGCUGCCUCUAUAUAAUUUGACCAUGCCUUCGUCAACUGUUAAAGUUUGGUUUAGUUCCAGUACCGCAAGCAGUUUUGAAUUUAAUGCUCUGGUGUGAAUUUGGUGCGAAGCAGCUAGUAGCUAACACAAAAAUUUAUACGUUUACAUUAAUGCAGAGAAAUUAAAUAUUGAAAGUUAAUUAAGCUAGACUCGUAAACAAAGCAAUGAUGCUAGAGCUUAGGACAACUGAAAAUAAAAACAAAUAAAGAGAUAACUAAUUAAUUUGAUACUCUGAAGCUUUCGGGGAUUGCUCAUUAAAGAAAUUAAGUUUGCUACCGAAUAAUAAAUUUCAUGUAUUUUCUGCUUAAAUAGUAUUUUAUAGGAGUUUUAAAAUACAUGUCAGCGUGUCCAUCUCAUUAAUUCAGAAUUUUGAGGAACAUGAGUAGCACACAAAUAUCAAACAGAAUCUGUGUUUAUCUUAAACAUUAUUCUGCUAUUGUGUCUGUUCAAUUUUCUGAAACAUUCAAGUCAAGUUGUGGCGAUGAGGAACUUACCAUGUGCAGUGGUGCAGUUUAUCAGAGUGAAUAAAGCAGCUCAACAUGUUCUGAUAUUCACAGUUCACUCAUGCAAAUCGAUUAGAACUGUUACAUAUAAUUUGUAUACAAUGUCAGAUGUACAUGAAUGUAUCGCUGAUUAUAUACAUUGUUGACGAUGAAUUUAUUUAUAAUAAUUGACUUUAACCAUAUAUAGAUUCAUGCCUAGUGCUAAUUAAGUUCUUCUUCAACUUAAAAAUAUUAGAGAGUUCUUUUUUUCACGAUGCUUAUAUAUACUGCUGCUUUACACUUGAAAUCCCAUGCAUUUCUGAAUUGAACAUUAGAUACAAACACCAUUUCUGGCCAGCAGAGAGUCGAGUAUUUUAUAUGUCGAAAGACUCCAAACUGUCCCACUUUUGAGUAGCUGGGAGUUGAACUUGUAUACUCUAAACUCUGAUAUUGAAUUAAGUAAAUAGUUAUCUUAAAACUGAAAAAUUGUGCUUGAAUGGAAAAGAAUGAGUUAAAGAAUGAAAUUAAAAGGCUUGUUCGGAAGUACCGUUCAAAACUGUUCGUAAAAAUGUGAUGCUGUUCGAUAAUAAAAUAUGUGACAAUGCUGGAAAACAACUUUUUCUAGUUACACGCUCCGAAUGCGGACACCCUUUAUUUUUCAUACAACUAUCAACAAAUAUCCUUACUAUAUGUACUUUCUUAACUAAUAUACACUCUUACAUAUCUUCAUGAUUGUUUGGACAAUUCUACGUAAUGUGUUGUAGAUUUUGAUCAGGCAUAGCUACACAUCCCAUACACGCACGAACUUCCUCUCUUGCACCUCUUUUUGCAGCUGCCGCAGUUCUUCUCGUCUCUUGAAGUAUUCACACACCUACCUUUGCAGCACGUCUCAUUAUAUCUGCAUUUCUUCCCACACUUGCCACAAUUAGCCUCAUCGCUCAUCACAUUCACGCAUUUCUUCUUGCAGCAGUCCGGACCAGGGCUGCCCUUGUUGUUGCAAACCCUAGGGUACUUGUCACAUGUCCUCCAUGCCCGGGGUCUGUCAGCCAAAAACCGGCCCAUUUGUCCCGAAGAAGAAGACGGUUCAGAGGUUGUUAUAGGAACAUCAAGGUCCAAAUUACCAUCUUCCAUAACCGAGUUGGCGAAAAUGGUAGUAGUUGUGGCCACUAUUGCAAGGAAGAUGAAGAUCUUAGACCAUGCCAUUUCUAAUAUUGCUUGAAGAUGGCUAA